This 497-nucleotide ribosomal RNA is filed under the name uncultured bacterium. RNAcentral's name for it is "partial 16S ribosomal RNA". It matches the Rfam family "Bacterial small subunit ribosomal RNA", at positions 28 to 507 of the family's 1533-position model. The record is from RNAcentral.
GAUGAACGCUGGCGGCGUGCCUAAUACAUGCAAGUCGAACGCUGAAGGAAGGAGCUUGCUCUUUCCGGAUGAGUUGCGAACGGGUGAGUAACGCGUAGGUAACCUGCCUGGUAGCGGGGGAUAACUAUUGGAAACGAUAGCUAAUACCGCAUAACAGUAGAUGUUGCAUGAUAUCUACCUAAAAGGUGCAAUUGCACCACUACCAGAUGGACCUGCGUUGUAUUAGCUAGUUGGUGAGGUAACGGCUCACCAAGGCGACGAUACAUAGCCGACCUGAGAGGGUGAGCGGCCACACUGGGACUGAGACACGGCCCAGACGCCUACGGGAGGCAGCAGGAGGGAAUCUUCGGCAAUGGACGGAAGUCUGACCGAGCAACGCCGCGUGAGUGAAGAAGGUUUUCGGAUCGUAAAGCUCUGUUGUAAGAGAAGAACGAGUGUGAGAGUGGAAAGUUCACACUGUGACGGUAUCUUACCAGAAAGGGACGGCUAACUACGUG